CAACAGACACCACGUUACAACACAACAGACACCACAACACAGACACCACGUUACAACACAACAGACACCACGUUACAACACAACAGACACCACAACAGACACCACGUUACAACACAACAGACACCACGUUACAACACAACAGACACCACGUUACAACACAACAGACACCACGUUACAACACAACAGACACCACGUUACAACACAACAGACACCACGUUACAACACAACAGACACCACGUUACAACACAACAGACACCACGUUACAACACAACAGACACCACAAUUACAACACAACAGACACCACGUUACAACACAACAGACACCACGUUACAACACAACAGACACCACGUUACAACACAACAGACACCACGUUACAACACAACAGACACCACAACAGACACCACGUUACAACACAACAGACACCACAACACAACAGACACCACGUUACAACACAACAGACACCACGUUACAACACAACAGACACCACGUUACAACACAACAGACACCACGUUACAACACAACAGACACCACGUUACAACACAACAGACACCACAACAGACACCACAUUACAACACAUGAGGCGUUAAGAUAGACCAGUCUAAAUGUUUAGGAUGAACUUUAUUACAGGUUUGUCAGAAAGGGACACACCCCCUGGUACCUUCUCACUGUGGAGGUAGGUUAACACACACCCCCUGGUACCUUCUCACUGUGGAGGUAGGUUAACACACACCCCCUGGUACCUUCUCACUGUGGAGGUAGGUUAACACACACCCCCUGGUACCUUCUCACUGUGGAGGUAGGUUAACACACACCCCCUGGUACCUUCUCACUGUGGAGGUAGGUUAACACACACCCCCUGGUACCUUCUCACUGUGGAGGUAGGUUAACACACACCCCCUGGUACCUUCUCACUGUGGAGGUAGGUUAACACACACCCCCUGGUACCUUCUCACUGUGGAGGUAGGUUAACACACACCCCCUGGUACCUUCUCACUGUGGAGGUAGGUUAACACACACCCCCUGGUACCUUCUCACUGUGGAGGUAGGUUAACACACACCCCCUGGUACCUUCUCACUGUGGAGGUAGGUUAACACACACCCCCUGGUACCUUCUCACUGUGGAGGUAGGUUAACACACACCCCCUGGUACCUUCUCACUGUGGAGGUAGGUUAACACACACCCCC
Molecule: long non-coding RNA, 1185 nt
Organism: Oncorhynchus keta (chum salmon)
Lineage: Eukaryota; Metazoa; Chordata; Actinopteri; Salmoniformes; Salmonidae
Exons: 5
Source: RefSeq, a predicted model, not a curated record